UGGGAAACAGAUUGUGAUUCAAUAGGGCUGAGGGCCCAAGACUGCAUUUCCAGCCAGCUCCAAAGUAAUGCUGAUAACCACAGUGAGCACCAAAGCCAAAUGCCAAAAACCAAAAAGGACGGCAAGAAUCAACCACAGGGGACAUCAGAGGACCACAGGUGGAGGAGAAGAGGCGAAAGUGGAAGCAACACAGAGCAGCUGACACAAAUCUUCAACUCAUUGAUGAUGGCAUCUGACAGUUCCAGGUAUUAAGAGAGAAAGAAUCUGAGAAAUUAUGGCGUACUCAACUGUGGACAGCUGAAAGUCUGGCAUAGCGUGCCCUCAUCAUCACAAAUGGGCUCACAUUACAAGCUACACUUAUUUGACAACUAUCAGCAUUUGUCAACUGGCACUCAGAUUUGAAGGCUCAUUUCACAACUGGAGCAAGAGAGGACAGGAAGGAAAAAUCAGAGUAAAGUUUCAAUGAGUUUCUGCAAAUUCUCAGAAGUUUCGCUGCCACUCAGUGUCACAAUAACAAAAAGAAAUAAAAAUAGCUGAUAUUUACUAAA
Long non-coding RNA from Gorilla gorilla gorilla (western lowland gorilla), 548 nucleotides. RefSeq lists it as uncharacterized. The record is from RefSeq and is a predicted model, not a curated record. The transcript is spliced from 2 exons. Lineage: Eukaryota; Metazoa; Chordata; Mammalia; Primates; Hominidae.